UAGCUGAGUGGUAGAGCACUUGCCUAGAAUGCAGGAAGCCCUGGUUCAAUCCCCAGG
Molecule: transfer RNA, 57 nt
Filed under: Cavia porcellus (domestic guinea pig)
Lineage: Eukaryota; Metazoa; Chordata; Mammalia; Rodentia; Caviidae
Rfam family: tRNA
About the family: Transfer RNA (tRNA) molecules are approximately 80 nucleotides in length. Their secondary structure includes four short double-helical elements and three loops (D, anti-codon, and T loops).
Source: Rfam by way of RNAcentral